GGGCUCGCUUUGGCAGCACACACACUAAAACUGGAGUGCUGCAGAGAUCAGCAUGACUGCUGUACAAGGAUGGUGCACAGAUUUGUGAAACAUUCCAUAUUUUU
Small nuclear RNA from Microtus ochrogaster (prairie vole), 104 nucleotides. Lineage: Eukaryota; Metazoa; Chordata; Mammalia; Rodentia; Cricetidae. The record is from Ensembl.